UUUUUUCCAGGAUAAAUAAAGAUUCUGAUUUGGAUUUCGUGUAUUGUAUAUGUGGUGCCACCGCAACGGAGCCGCUCCGUCGGGGCCGUACCCACCGCCGUGACGCCGCCACCAAGGAGCGACGGCACCGACGCUACUCGCCCCUCACUGCCCCCCACAUGAACGCACGCAUACCCCACAUAGAGCCCGAGGGGAAGUCACCUGGCCGGCAGGUUUUCGUCCAGAAGCCCCUAAUGGGAUCAAGCUUCAUGGUUUCCUACGGCCAGGGAAUUGGACGACCUACCCCCGAGGUUGACGUGCACCGCGGCGCCGUGACUUUGGAUUGUAAUUGCAUGGUCACGGCAGGAGCUGUAGAGCCACCGCGGGUAGAAACACGCACACGCAACACGGGUCAGUAGGCUGGUAGAGGGAGGAGCAGAAAGCGGACGUCGAGGGGACCACUGCGGUGACGUCACCAGAGCUAGGAUCCGACUAUCAAAAGAGCGGGAAAAUCCGGGCCCCUGAUUGGACGGGAGACGAAGGGAGCGAAACAGCGGGGCGCCUUUGUUGUGGGUACGAUAAAAGGAGGGUGAUUUAGGCAGUGAGGCAGUCGUGCUCUUCAAGGGAUCGAGGUCAGCCGGGUGUUGGAGCAAGCCGUUCGAGUCGUCCGUGUGACGAGUUUCAACGCAGCCAGGCCCAAUUCCCCACGGAGACGACGCACAGGCGCGCCCUCCCACGACUUCUUGCGCAUGGAGUAGGAUCAGAGGUAAGUGCGGGAGAGGUGUACUUGGGCUAAAUAACAACGGGAGAAUAAGGGAGCACCCAGCCGGAUAGGUUACGAGGGAUAGGUUAGGAUUAAGUCCCGGUUAACCGAGGGAUAGACUAGCGUCUGCUGACCCACAUUGGCACUCUGAGCUACGUUGGAUUUGUUGCAGAGAAUAAAUCGUCAGGAGAGUUUAAACCGUGUCGUGUGGUCUCUGUGAGCACGGAAAGGAGGGUGGAGUGUCGUGGGUCGGGUCGCCGGGGCGCACGGUAAUUACAUCCAACCGUUUGGUAGAGCGCCUGGUGUUCGCGUACACGCGCGGCUGUUUAAACGGCCUUUAAAUCGGGGCGGAGUUACCUCCUCCAAUCGGCGGCGCGCGCACGGUGGACGCCCCUGCCCUCUGACCCCCGACCCCGAGUCCCGUGCGUGGGCGCUCGGUGCGGCCGCGGAGCUGCGCGUCGGCGCGCUGUAUCCCUUUAUUUACGCACGAGACGGGGUUUCACUCCACGGGCGCGCUCACCGCAGCACGUCCGCCCCUGAGCCCGCGUAGCGCGUCGUAAGCGUAAUACGCUACCAACGCAGUUACGUUUAUAAAGCUCCAUUGUGACAUCGAGGAGACUGGCGUCGCUGCGGGUCUGCGCUCUGAUUGCACUGCGCUUUGAAACCGUUUGUGGACGCUGCACGUGGGAAGAGGGACCACACGCUGGGGUCUCAACUGAAGGUAUUCGUUUGUUAUACAAAACAGGUUGGCCCCAAAUUCAAGUCUUUUCGCGAAUGGCCUUUUCCGUCAAUUCUACCUUUUUCC
Molecule: non-coding RNA, 1547 nt
Organism: Petromyzon marinus (sea lamprey)
Lineage: Eukaryota; Metazoa; Chordata; Hyperoartia; Petromyzontiformes; Petromyzontidae
Source: RefSeq, a predicted model, not a curated record